This 478-nucleotide ribosomal RNA is filed under the name uncultured bacterium. RNAcentral describes it as "bacterial SSU rRNA". It matches the Rfam family "Bacterial small subunit ribosomal RNA", at positions 1 to 529 of the family's 1533-position model. The record is from RNAcentral.
UAGAGUUUGAUCCUGGCUCAGAGCGAACGCUGGCGGCAGGCUUAACACAUGCAAGUCGAGCGGGCGUAGCAAUACGUCAGCGGCAGACGGGUGAGUAACGCGUGGGAACGUACCUUUUGGUUCGGAACAACACAGGGAAACUUGUGCUAAUACCGGAUAAGCCCUUACGGGGAAAGAUUUAUCGCCAAAAGAUCGGCCCGCGUCUGAUUAGCUAGUUGGUGAGGUAACGGCUCACCAAGGCGACGAUCAGUAGCUGGUCUGAGAGGAUGAUCAGCCACAUUGGGACUGAGACACGGCCCAAACUCCUACGGGAGGCAGCAGUGGGGAAUAUUGGACAAUGGGCGCAAGCCUGAUCCAGCCAUGCCGCGUGAGUGAUGAAGGCCCUAGGGUUGUAAAGCUCUUUUGUGCGGGAAGAUAAUGACGGUACCGCAAGAAUAAGCCCCGGCUAACUUCGUGCCAGCAGCCGCGGUAAUGCCCA